This 406-nucleotide ribosomal RNA is filed under the name Cryptocercus primarius. RNAcentral's name for it is "partial 16S ribosomal RNA". The stretch from base 1 to 205 matches the Rfam family "Archaeal large subunit ribosomal RNA", at positions 1889 to 2143 of the family's 2987-position model. Lineage: Eukaryota; Metazoa; Arthropoda; Insecta; Blattodea; Cryptocercidae. The record is from RNAcentral.
CUCCUGUUUAACAAAAACAUCUCUUCUUGAAUAUAAUUUGAUGUAUGGCCUGCCCACUGAAUAUUGAAGGGCCGCGGUAUUUUGACCGUGCAAAGGUAGCAUAAUCAUUAGUCUUUUAAUUGUGGACUGGAAUGAAUGGUUUGACGAGGUGUUAACUGUCUUUAAUUUUUUUCAUUGAAUUUAAAUUUUAGGUUAAAAUGCCUAAAUGUUUUUUUGGGACGAGAAGACCCUAUAGAGUUUUAUAUAUUUUUGCUUUUUUGUAUGAUAAAUUUUAAUGUAAAAAUUUAUUUUGUUGGGGUGAUGAGAAGAUUAAAUUAACUCUUUUUGUUUUUUUAUAUUUAUUUAUAUAUAUUUGAUCCAUUUUUAUUGAUUAUAAGACUAAAUUACCUUAGGGAUAACAGCGUAA